Molecule: ribosomal RNA, 429 nt
Filed under: Chloroflexota bacterium
Lineage: Bacteria; Bacillati; Chloroflexota
Description: Chloroflexi bacterium partial 16S ribosomal RNA
Rfam family: Bacterial small subunit ribosomal RNA
Source: RNAcentral
UGGGGAAUAUUGCACAAUGGGCGCAAGCCUGAUGCAGCCAUGCCGCGUGUGUGAAGAAGGCCUUCGGGUUGUAAAGCACUUUCAGCGGGGAGGAAGGCGUUAAGGUUAAUAACCUUGGCGAUUGACGUCACCCGCAGAAGAAGCACCGGCUAACUCCGUGCCAGCAGCCGCGGUAAUACGGAGGGUGCAAGCGUUAAUCGGAAUUACUGGGCGUAAAGCGCACGCAGGCGGUCUGUCAAGUCGGAUGUGAAAUCCCCGGGCUCAACCUGGGAACUGCAUUCGAAACUGGCAGGCUAGAGUCUUGUAGAGGGGGGUAGAAUUCCAGGUGUAGCGGUGAAAUGCGUAGAGAUCUGGAGGAAUACCGGUGGCGAAGGCGGCCCCCUGGACAAAGACUGACGCUCAGGUGCGAAAGCGUGGGGAGCAAACAGG